GCACCCGCACAAGCGGUGGAGCAUGCUGUUUAAUUCGAAUCAACGCGAAAAACCUUACCUAGACUUGACAUCCCUGGCAAAGCUAUAGAAAUAUAGUGGAGGUUAUCCGGGUGACAGGUGGUGCAUGGUUGUCGUCAGCUCGUGUCGUGAGAUGUUCGGUUAAGUCCGUUAACGAGCGCAACCCUUAUCUUUAGUUACUAACAUUCAGUUGAGAACUCUAAAGAGACUGCCGGUAACAAACCGGAGGAAGGUGGGGAUGACGUCAAAUCAUCAUGCCCCUUAUGUCUAGGGCAACAGGCGUGCUACAAUGGCCGGUACAAAGAGUCGCAAUACCGCGAGGUGGAGCCAAUCUCUAAAGCCGGUCUCAGUUCGGAUUGAAGUCUGCAACUCGACUUCAUGAAGUUGAAAUCGCUAGUAAUCCCAGAUCAGCAUGCUGGGGUGAAUACGUUCUCGGGUGUU
This 459-nucleotide ribosomal RNA is filed under the name uncultured bacterium. RNAcentral describes it as "bacterial SSU rRNA". It matches the Rfam family "Bacterial small subunit ribosomal RNA", at positions 917 to 1382 of the family's 1533-position model. The record is from RNAcentral.